RNAcentral lists this ribosomal RNA (368 nucleotides) under uncultured organism. RNAcentral describes it as "bacterial SSU rRNA". It matches the Rfam family "Bacterial small subunit ribosomal RNA", at positions 526 to 896 of the family's 1533-position model. The record is from RNAcentral.
CGGAGGGUGCAAGCGUUAUCCGGAUUCACUGGGUUUAAAGGGUGCGUAGGUGGGCAGGUAAGUCAGUGGUGAAAUCUCCGGGCUUAACCCGGAAACUGCCAUUGAUACUAUUUGUCUUGAAUACCGUGGAGGUCAGCGGAAUAUGUCAUGUAGCGGUGAAAUGCUUAGAUAUGACAUAGAACACCAAUUGCGAAGGCAGCUGGCUACACGAAUAUUGACACUGAUGCACGAAAGCGUGGGGAUCAAACAGGAUUAGAUACCCUGGUAGUCCACGCCCUAAACGAUGGAUACUCGACAUACGCGAUAUACUGUGUGUGUCUGAGCGAAAGCAUUAAGUAUCCCACCUGGGAAGUACGAUCGCAAGAUUG